Molecule: long non-coding RNA, 467 nt
Organism: Rhodamnia argentea
Lineage: Eukaryota; Viridiplantae; Streptophyta; Magnoliopsida; Myrtales; Myrtaceae
Exons: 3
Source: RefSeq, a predicted model, not a curated record
GUUUCGGAGUCCGCCGAAAGCAUUUGAAUGGCCGGGUUCAUCUCACAAUUGCACUUCUGUACAGAAGCGAACGAGCUCUCAUCUCUUUCCGGAUCGACGCCAUUCGCAGAGAGCAAUCGACCUCAGUGUCCAUGGAGACGAUGCCUUCGUGCUUCGGCUGCUUUAUAAACUCAGGUCGAUUUCAGUUCCUCAACGUGAAAUGUUCAUAUAAUCUGUUCGCCCGUUGCGAACAUGAAGCUCGUAGAAGCCAAAAUCACGAUCAUCGGAUGCUCUACUGCCGAUCCUAGGGCUAUGGAAACGAAAGUGUCCUAGGACAAAGUUUCGCUAUCAAUUCUAUCUGUUUCCCUGCUUGUCAAGAUGUAUCCUGGAGGAACUUCAUUGUUGAGCCUGUUGAUGAAUACUAUCAGGUUAAGUUCUAUGAGAUUUUGUGGGACCACUGUCGGCCGUUCUAAAAGCUUAAAUUGAUA